UCAAAGGAAUUGACGGGUCUCCGCACAAGCAGCGGAGCGUGUGGUUUAAUUCGAUGAUACACGAAGAACCUUACCAGGGCUUGACAUGCAAGUGGUAGGAAACCGAAAGGAGACCGACCCUUCGGGGAGCUUGCACAGGUGCUGCAUGGCUGUCGUCAGCUCGUGUCGUGAGAUGUUCGGUUAAGUCCGCUAACGAGCGCAACCCUCGCUGCGUGUUACAAGUGUCACGCGGGACCGCCGGUAUUAAGCCGGAGGAAGGUGGGGAUGACGUCAAGUCCUCAUGGCCCUUAUAGGUGGGGCUACACACGUCAUACAAUGGCUGGUACAAAGGGUUGCCAACCCGCGAGGGGGAGCCAAUCCCAUAAAGCCAGUCGUAGUCCGGAUCGUAGUCUGCAACUCGACUACGUGAAGUCGGAAUCGCUAGUAAUCGUGGAUCAGAAUGUCACGGUGAAUACGUUCCCGGGUCUU
RNAcentral lists this ribosomal RNA (468 nucleotides) under uncultured Anaerolineaceae bacterium. RNAcentral describes it as "bacterial SSU rRNA". It matches the Rfam family "Bacterial small subunit ribosomal RNA", at positions 901 to 1382 of the family's 1533-position model. Lineage: Bacteria; Bacillati; Chloroflexota; Anaerolineae; Anaerolineales; Anaerolineaceae. The record is from RNAcentral.